GCGGAAGUGGCGGAACUGGCAGACGCGCCAGACUAAGGAUCUGGUGGGGUAAAACCCGUGGAGGUUCGAGUCCUCUCUUCCGCA
Molecule: transfer RNA, 84 nt
Filed under: Sandaracinaceae bacterium LLY-WYZ-13_1
Lineage: Bacteria; Pseudomonadati; Myxococcota; Polyangiales; Sandaracinaceae
Description: tRNA-Leu
Rfam family: tRNA
About the family: Transfer RNA (tRNA) molecules are approximately 80 nucleotides in length. Their secondary structure includes four short double-helical elements and three loops (D, anti-codon, and T loops).
Source: RNAcentral